CAACCUCAACUCAUAUGGGACUACCCCCUGAAUUUAAGCAUAUUAAUUAGGGGAGGAAAAGAAACUAACAAGGAUUUUCUUAGUAGCGGCGAGCGAAAAGAAAUCAGUUCAGCACUAAGUCACUUUGUCUAUAUGGCAAAUGUGAGAUGCAGUGUACGGAACAUCAACAUUCUAGUAUGAGAAGUUAACGAUUUAAGUCCUUCUUAAAUGAGGCCAUUUACCCAUAGAGGGUGCCAGGCCCGUAUAACGUUAAUGAUUACUAGAUGGUGUUUCCAAAGAGUCGUGUUGCUUGAUAGUGCAGCACUAAGUGGGUGGUAAACUCCAUCUAAAACUAAAUAUAACCAUGAGACCGAUAGUAAACAAGUACCGUGAGGGAAAGUUGAAAAGAACUCUGAAUAGAGAGUUAAAUAGUACGUGAAACUGCUUAGAGGUUAAGCCCGAUGAACCUGAAUAUCCGUUAUGGAAAAUUCAUCAUUAGAAUUGUAAUAUUUUAAACAAUAUUAUAAUAAUAGUGUGCAUUUUUUCCAUAUAAGGACAUUGUAAUCUAUUAGCAUAAAUAUUUAUCAUAAAAUUAUGUCUGAUUGCUUAUUUGAAUUAUAUGCUUGGCAUUUUAACAUAAAAUAAAAGAUAUAAAUUUGAUAAAGUGCUGAUAGAUUUAUAUGAUUACAGUGCGUUAAUUUUUCGGAAUUAUAUAAUGGCAUAAUUAUCAUUGAUAUUUGUGUUUAUUAUAUGCAUUUGUAUGAUUAACAAUGCGAAAGAAUCCAGGAUCCCUUCGGG
This 777-nucleotide non-coding RNA is filed under the name Drosophila virilis. RNAcentral's name for it is "Eukaryotic large subunit ribosomal RNA". It matches the Rfam family "Eukaryotic large subunit ribosomal RNA", at positions 1 to 646 of the family's 3401-position model. The record is from Rfam by way of RNAcentral. Lineage: Eukaryota; Metazoa; Arthropoda; Insecta; Diptera; Drosophilidae.